This 4160-nucleotide long non-coding RNA is filed under the name Heterocephalus glaber (naked mole-rat). Its description in RNAcentral is "lncRNA (ENSHGLG00100052555.1)". Lineage: Eukaryota; Metazoa; Chordata; Mammalia; Rodentia; Bathyergidae. The record is from RNAcentral.
CGGGUACCGGGCGGCCGGAGGAAGGGGGCGGCCUGGACCUAGGAGCACGAUCCGGGAGGGGUCUGGGGUUGCCUCCGCCAAAAGGAGGAGAGAAGUAGGAAGCUUGUCUGGCAUGCUGCGCACGCCCAGGCGCAUAGAGCCCUUCCCUCCCAGCGGGCCCCACUUGGCUGCCCCUCAGCAUCACCUGACGCUGCACCCGGGUCUGAAGCACCGCAUUCAUCACUUCCUGCACGCGCACACCCGGCCUGAUCCCCCGCUCUUACCAACGCCAGACACUGAUGAGACGCUUGACAGAAACCUCUAGGCCCACCUGGCUUCCCCGGUCGCAAUCCCAGGAGACAAACAGGGUCCGCGUUUACCCCCACGCUGGCAGGGCCUUCCUGCCCCAUCCUGAAGGCCUGGUGCACUGUCAAGGUCUGCAGACGCUGUCUUGUCAGAUCCCAGGGCACGGUGCGCGGGUAGAGUCCUGCUCCGGGGGACAGGCUGUGGACCCUGACCAGAUGACUUAACCCCUCAAACCUUCAGUUUCCUCUUCCUGGAGUGGUCAUCAAAACUGUGCACAAGUGUCCCCAGCCCCUUCCCUGCCUUGCAGUCCCAGCCUGCAGCAGAGGACAAAGCCCUGCUGAAGGGAGCUGUCCGGAUGCUUCUUGGGAAGGUUCAGUACUGGCCUGAGGUCACCCAGCUUGUCAGCAGCGGUCCCAGCACUGAAACUCCACCUGUGCGGUUCCGAGGCCUCUGCUCCCUCACCUUCCCUGGGAAGUCGUCCUUCCCAGGCCGGGAGCCCCUCUGCAGCCUGCUGUGGCAGACCACACUCAGGUGCGGCGUCAUCUCAGGACACACCUCCUAAAACGCAGGUGGGGCCACUUACCUGUAACCCCUGUGCGGUGGCCACAGUAACAGCACGCGUGACACCGGAAGUGUGUUCUGAGGGCUGACGUGAGGCCUAAGGGGGCCUCACACACUCCAUCGCCAGAGUUAUUAACGUCACGCUCCAUUUUCUUUCUCCAUGGCCCCUACUAGAAUUCUGGGCAAUCACAAGCGAGUCGUCAGGCUGCUUGGCUGCGCUCGGAUUCCUGGUUUGGUGCUGGAUACAGAUGGUAAAACAUCUGCGUCUAGGAACCUGACCUCCACACUGCCCUGUGCCUUGUAUUUACGUGAGGCUCAUCACAUGUCCUUUACUGUACAUGCUGUUUUCCAAGCAGGAAAGAGGGGAUGUUUGAUUUCUGGAGAAAUCUUUGUUCGGAAAAACACUGUAAUACCACUUGUCAUUUAUCUCAUAUUUAUCAUACGAAGUGACACCUUGCUUGUUGAAUGGCUCCCAGCUCGAACUUUUCUGGUACUUGAACAGCAAAGUUCGAAAAAAGCCUGCUGGGUGUUCAGGACUUUGCUCUGUAGUUGAAACGAAAAUCCGACUUGAGAAAACCUGCAGGGGCUGAGAGUGAGUCACAGGUUGCGUCUCGCCACAGAGGGGAGAUGCCUCAGUGCGAGUGACGCUCUCGCUCAGAUGCACACAGGGCUUGUGUCGGGGUGUUAAGACAUUCCACACUCGGCUUUUUUGUGUGUGUGCUUUAUUUGGGUAGAAUAUCGUAACCCUGGCUCCAAGGAAAGUUAUGAUACCAGCGGUAAAGCUAAGAGGAAAACUGUGGGAACCACGAUAGAGUUAAAGAAAGAAAUCACUGCGAAACUUGUUAAAGUCCUGGAAAAAUGAAUUUAUAAGUGUAACUGUUGGGCCUCAGAACCAAUUAUUUGGUUUUCCAUUAUUUCUUAUGGGAAAAAUAUGUCUGGUUCUUGAACUUGUCGGUGUUUGAACAUGAAUUUGGAAGGAACUGAGUUUGACAACCAAAGUACCAUUGUGUAUACUUUAUACACACUUUAUAUAGUUAAAGAGGUGGUACAUGUAUACAUACCACCUCUAAUCAGCGUAAAAUUCAUUUCACUGGUAAGAACGCUGAGUCUCAAAAAGGUCACAUUGCCUGUCCAAAAGGAAACAGCCUUUGCCAGGAUUUGAACCCAUGACUGAGCUCAAGGCUCUGCUCUGACCUCUCCCACGCUGCUUGGCCCCGGCACUCAAAUUAAUUCACACCUGCGCCUUGCUAGAUGCUGCUGUCCCUUGCCCUGGUGAGGUGAGGUUUGGAAAGUGACCUGAGAUUGUGACCGUGCUAAUGUGAGCGAGUUGCCUGGUGAAAAAUGUGUGUUGAACGACCAUCUUCCUGCCCAUAUGGAGGAGGCUGCCUGUCCCCAGAAAUCCACGUGCCUCCGUGCAGAGGGGGCUGACAGACAGCAGCCCCAGUGGGCACACAUCCCGGCCUCCCUUGACAGAGUGGGCCAUAGGAUAGUGGGCCAGAGCACAGUGUGGUUUGUCGCUUGCAGGGGGACAGUUCAGAGAGUAAAUAGGAGAUUGGACUCCAAGGCCCCAGGAUGGUGAGGCCACGGAUGAAAUGACACCACUCUUUGACGAGGACAUCAGACUGGCUCAUGAGAGAGAAACAGACUAUUGUGUUAAGUCCGUGAAGCUAGACGGUUCAUGCAGCUAGCGCUGCCCUAAUACAUGCUAUUUACGCAAGCAUGUGUUGAUACAUAAAAUGCAAAGUGGAAGACUAAAACUACCAUGUGAGACCAGGCAUGAUGGCGCAUACCCAUGAUCCCAGCACUCAGGAGGCUGAGGCAGGAGGAUCACCACAUGUUUGAGGCCAGCGUGGCAGCCUAGUGAGUUCAAGGCCAGCCUGAUCAAACAGGAGUAUUCAACUCCAGUGGAGCAGGAAGAAACUCAUUUACUGGUUCGGCUAUGUUAGUCACCACACGCCUGGCACUGGGGCCAAGGAUGGGCUGGGGCAGUAUGAGCAAGUCCUCCUGAGCUGCCCAUCAGUGAGUGAAAGCACAGUUGUAGCCACCAAGCUUGGGAGAACCUGGGCUAUUGCAUAUGGAUUUGAUAAAAACAGAAGUUUGCUCCCAAAUCAUUGUGGGAAGCCAUGCUUCUUCCCCUGCUACGUGGCCAGAGACCCUAAGAACUGUGACUUAGAACACAGACUCAUUAUCAAAACCACCAGGCUCAAAUCCUGGCUCCGCACCUUUCCAGCAGUGUGAUCUUGGGCCACUUUCUCUUGGUUUCUGUUUUUUCAUCUGGAAAAUGGGGAAAUUGAUAAUCCCCACCCCAAGAAGUUGUCAUUGAAGAUGGCUAAAAGUUGGAUCUUCAUUGUCCCCAAAGACUUAGACUCCGGUGCAGUGCUAUGGGGACACAGUGGAAACUUUGAGAGGUGGGGCCUAGGGGACGCCUGCUGGUCACUGGGGUCACUGAAGGAAAUCGUGAGACCCCGGCUCCUCCUCCCCCCUCUAGUACUGGCCAAGACGUGGGCAGCUCUGCACCUCCCACACCCGCCAGGUGGCACUGCUUCACCGCAACUGGGAAGCAAAGCAACGGGGCUGAUCAGUCAUGGACUGAACUCCCCAAAACCGUGAGCCAAGUAGACCUUUCUCUUCAUCGGCUGCUCAUCCAGGCAUGUGUCAUGGUGACAGAAGGCUGACACAGGACUGAAUGAAUUAAUGCAACAACAAAGCUCACAGAGAGCAGCAAGAGCUGUGUGGUGGCCCCAGGGGAUGUUGGCACAUCCUAUUCUCUACCACCUUCCCACUAGGGUGGCAUUUUGUGUACAGGAGAUACACAAGGUCUGUUUGUGAGGUUGGCAGGUGACAUCAGGAUACAGAAGUACAGGAGGAUCAUCCCCAAUCCAGAAAACCAAACCCAAAGUGUCCUAAAUCUGAAACUCUGAGAGCCCCUCCCUGACUCCCCCCAUGGGAAAUCCUACACCACACAACCUUUUCCAGGCACAGAAUCGCUUAAAGCAGUAUCUGACAUGACCUCGGCCACGCGUAGGGCCCAUCUGAAGUGGAAGUGAGUUCUGUGUUGAGACUCGAGUCCCCUCCCCAAGACAUCUUGUUAGGUAUAAAUGCAGAUAUUCCAAAAUCCAGAAACAUCAGAAAUCCACAGCCCUUGGGGCCCAGGCCUAGUGGAUGAGGGACUCUCAGUCAGAGUGUCUGGAACCGGGGAGGCAUUUGGGAUCCAGCGCUGUCGCCCAGGGCUUCCGGCCCGGGUGAUGAUGGAGGCAGAGGAAAGACAUCGUCUUGGUGCCCACCACAGAGUGGGGACAACUGUGGAAUAGGAG